UACGGAGGGGGCAAGCGUUAUUCGGAAUUAUUGGGCGUAAAGGGCGCGUAGGCGGCUAGAUGUGUCAAAGGUGAAAUCCCUCAGCUCAACUGAGGAACUGCCUUUGAAACUGUCUGGCUUGAGGCCGGGAGAGGGUAGCGGAAUUCCCAGUGUAGCGGUGAAAUGCGUAGAUAUUGGGAGGAACACCAGUGGCGAAGGCGGCUACCUGGACCGGUUCUGACGCUGAGGCGCGAAAGCGUGGGGAGCAAACAGG
This 253-nucleotide ribosomal RNA is filed under the name uncultured bacterium. RNAcentral's name for it is "partial 16S ribosomal RNA". It matches the Rfam family "Bacterial small subunit ribosomal RNA", at positions 524 to 776 of the family's 1533-position model. The record is from RNAcentral.